UUGGAAGUACCGGUCGGCGCGGAACAGCCACGAAUCCGGAUCCUCGCCAUUGAAUACUGGCAUUUCGACCUUCUUAAAUUUGUUUCUCUCAUUCGCACCCUCUUCGUCCUCAGUCCUCCUCUCCUUCGUUUCGUUCUCACCUCUCCUACUUGUCGAACUCUCUCCUUCAUUACUUUUUCUGCAUCCAGUUUCUUGUGCGCCGUAGUCU
RNAcentral lists this long non-coding RNA (208 nucleotides) under Cucumis sativus (cucumber). RNAcentral's name for it is "long non-coding RNA (CSAT_LNC001474)". Lineage: Eukaryota; Viridiplantae; Streptophyta; Magnoliopsida; Cucurbitales; Cucurbitaceae. The record is from RNAcentral.